CAGACGAGGUGAAAGAUGAGCUUU
Molecule: microRNA, 24 nt
Filed under: Schistosoma japonicum
Lineage: Eukaryota; Metazoa; Platyhelminthes; Trematoda; Strigeidida; Schistosomatidae
Description: miRNA-3132
Source: RNAcentral